RNAcentral lists this long non-coding RNA (209 nucleotides) under Glycine max (soybean). RNAcentral's name for it is "long non-coding RNA (GMAX_LNC001790)". Lineage: Eukaryota; Viridiplantae; Streptophyta; Magnoliopsida; Fabales; Fabaceae. The record is from RNAcentral.
ACAUGUUCAGUCUUCAUUUAUGUCAACAUAGUAUCUUUUGAACAUCAUGAAGCUUUUGUAAUGUUGCAUUCUACUAAUAUAUGGAGUUGGCCACUGCUUUGCCUGAGGAUGACAAUUGGUAGACCAUAACAAUGCUACAGGCGGUAAAUGAUAACGGUCUUUUAAAUAAACUUGUUCUACAUGCAGAAACAAUAUUAACUCAACCAUAG